CGUCCUACGGGAGGCAGCAGUAGGGAAUUCUCGUCAAUGGGCGCAAGCCUGAACGAGCAAUGCCGCGUGAACGAGGAAGGUCUUCGGAUCGUAAAGUGCUGUUGACGGGGAAAAAAGACCGGGAAAGGAAAUGAUCCCGGAGGAGAUAUUACCCGUCGAGGAAGUCACGGCUAACUACGUGCCAGCAGCCGCGGUAAUACGUAGGGAGCGAGCGUUAUCCGGAUUUAUUGGGUGUAAAGGGUGCGUAGGCGGCUUCUUAAGUCUGUAGUCUAAGCCCGGAGCUUAACUCCGGUUCGCUACAGAAA
Molecule: ribosomal RNA, 305 nt
Filed under: uncultured bacterium
Lineage: Bacteria
Description: bacterial SSU rRNA
Rfam family: Bacterial small subunit ribosomal RNA
Source: RNAcentral